CGGGGCUUAAAGUCUUGUAAUUGGAAUGAUGGGAAUUUAAACCUCUUCCAGAGUAUCAAUUGGAGGGCAAGUCUGGUGCCAGCAGCCGCGGUAAUUCCAGCUCCAAUAGCGUAUAUUAAAAUUGUUGCAGUUAAAAAGCUCGUAGUUGAAUUUCUGCUGCAUUGCUUGUGUCCCUCUGGGGUCUGUGCAUGUGGCUUUUUUCAAACGGAGUUUCUUUGUCUGAAUGUUUACUUUGAGAAAAUUAGAGUGCUCAAAGCAGGCUUUCGCCUUGAAUAGUUUAGCAUGGAAUAAUAAAGUAGGACUUUGGUUCUAUUUUGUUGGUUUUAGGUACCAAAGUAAUGGUUAAUAGGAACAGUUGGGGGCAUUCGUAUUUAACUGUCAGAGGUGAAAUUCUUAGAUUUGUUAAAGACGAACUACUGCGAAAGCAUUUGCCAAGGAUGUUUUCAUUAAUCAAGAAC
This 458-nucleotide ribosomal RNA is filed under the name Theileria annulata. RNAcentral's name for it is "SSU rRNA". It matches the Rfam family "Eukaryotic small subunit ribosomal RNA", at positions 486 to 984 of the family's 1831-position model. The record is from RNAcentral. Lineage: Eukaryota; Apicomplexa; Aconoidasida; Piroplasmida; Theileriidae.